AGUCACUUUCGCGGAGAAAGUACAGAGAACGGGAGCCUAGGAACGACCCCAAGAAUUGCUGUGCUGACUGACGGGUU
This 77-nucleotide non-coding RNA is filed under the name Ctenophora environmental sample. The record is from RNAcentral. Lineage: Eukaryota; Metazoa; Ctenophora.